UACGGAGGGGGGCUAGCGUUGUUCGGAAUUACUGGGCGUAAAGCGCACGUAGGCGGCUUUGUAAGUUAGAGGUGAAAGCCCGGGGCUCAACUCCGGAAUUGCCUUUAAGACUGCAUCGCUAGAAUUGUGGAGAGGUAAGUGGAAUUCCGAGUGUAGAGGUGAAAUUCGUAGAUAUUCGGAAGAACACCAGUGGCGAAGGC
Molecule: ribosomal RNA, 200 nt
Filed under: uncultured bacterium
Lineage: Bacteria
Description: partial 16S ribosomal RNA
Rfam family: Bacterial small subunit ribosomal RNA
Source: RNAcentral